AAACCAACAGGGAUUGCCUUAGUAGCGGCGAGUGAAGCGGCAAAAGCUCAAAUUUGAAAUCUGGCGCCUUCGGUGUCCGAGUUGUAAUUUGAAGAUUGUAACCUUGGGGUUGGCUCUUGUCUAUGUUUCUUGGAACAGGACGUCACAGAGGGUGAGAAUCCCGUGCGAUGAGAUGCCCAAUUCUAUGUAAGGUGCUUUCGAAGAGUCGAGUUGUUUGGGAAUGCAGCUCUAAGUGGGUGGUAAAUUCCAUCUAAAGCUAAAUAUUGGCGAGAGACCGAUAGCGAACAAGUACAGUGAUGGAAAGAUGAAAAGAACUUUGAAAAGAGAGUGAAAAAGUACGUGAAAUUGUUGAAAGGGAAGGGUUUGAGAUCAGACUCGAUAUUUUGUGAGCCUUGCCUUCGUGGCGGGGUGACCCGCAGCUUAUCGGGCCAGCAUCGGUUUGGGCGGUAGGAUAAUGGCGUAGGAAUGUGACUUUACUUCGGUGAAGUGUUAUAGCCUGCGUUGAUGCUGCCUGCCUAGACCGAGGACUGCGA
This 533-nucleotide ribosomal RNA is filed under the name Meyerozyma guilliermondii. RNAcentral's name for it is "LSU rRNA". It matches the Rfam family "Eukaryotic large subunit ribosomal RNA", at positions 62 to 600 of the family's 3401-position model. Lineage: Eukaryota; Fungi; Ascomycota; Pichiomycetes; Serinales; Debaryomycetaceae. The record is from RNAcentral.